Molecule: ribosomal RNA, 429 nt
Filed under: uncultured bacterium
Lineage: Bacteria
Description: bacterial SSU rRNA
Rfam family: Bacterial small subunit ribosomal RNA
Source: RNAcentral
UGGGGAAUAUUGCGCAAUGGGCGAAAGCCUGACGCAGCGACGCCGCGUGGGUGAUGAAGGCCUUCGGGUCGUAAAGCCCUGUCGGGAGGGACGAAACCUCGACGACCUAAUACGUCGUCGACCUGACGGUACCUCCUAAGGAAGCACCGGCUAACUCCGUGCCAGCAGCCGCGGUAAUACGGAGGGUGCAAGCGUUGUUCGGAAUCACUGGGCGUAAAGCGCGUGUAGGCGGCUUCUUAAGUCUGGUGUGAAAGCCCGGGGCUUACCCCCGGAAGGGCACUGGAGACUGGGAGGCUUGAGUACCGGAGAGGAGGGUGGAAUUCCUGGUGUAGCGGUGAAAUGCGUAGAUAUCAGGAGGAACACCGGUGGCGAAGGCGGCCCUCUGGACGGCUACUGACGCUGAGACGCGAAAGCGUGGGGAGCAAACAG